AGAAUAUAAGAACCUGUCUCUUAAUUUUUAACUAAAAAGCUAAGAACUGACUUUUAAAUAAGAGUUUUAAGAGACGGUUCUUAACUUUUUUAAUUAAAAGUUAAGAGACGGGUUCUUAUAUUCC
MicroRNA precursor from Brassica oleracea var. oleracea, 124 nucleotides. It matches the Rfam family "MIR9563 microRNA precursor family". Lineage: Eukaryota; Viridiplantae; Streptophyta; Magnoliopsida; Brassicales; Brassicaceae. The record is from Rfam.